This 460-nucleotide ribosomal RNA is filed under the name uncultured bacterium. Its description in RNAcentral is "SSU rRNA". It matches the Rfam family "Bacterial small subunit ribosomal RNA", at positions 26 to 518 of the family's 1533-position model. The record is from RNAcentral.
AGAAUCAACGCUGGCGGCGUGCCUAACACAUGCAAGUCGAACGAGAAAGUGGAGCAAUCCAUGAGUAAAGUGGCGACCGGGUGAGUAACACGUGACUAACCUACCUUCGAGUGGGGGAUAACCUCGGGAAACCGAGGCUAAUACCGCAUAACAUCGCAAGAUCAAAGCAGCAAUGCGCUGGAAGAGGGGGUCGCGGCUGAUUAGCUAGUUGGCGGGGUAAUGGCCCACCAAGGCGAAGAUCGGUAGCCGGCCUGAGAGGGCGCACGGCCACACUGGAACUGAAACACGGUCCAGACUCCUACGGGAGGCAGCAGUGGGGAAUUUUGCGCAAUGGGGGAAACCCUGACGCAGCAACGCCGCGUGGAGGAUGAAGCCCCUUGGAGUGUAAACUCCUUUCGACCAAGACGAUAAUGACGGUACUGGUGGAAGAAGCACCGGCUAACUCUGCGCCAGCAGCCGC